GGUGGCUUCGGCUACCACUUACAGAUGGACCCGCGGCGCAUUAGCUAGUUGGUGAGGUAACGGCUCACCAAGGCGACGAUGCGUAGCCGACCUGAGAGGGUGAUCGGCCACACUGGGACUGAGACACGGCCCAGACUCCUACGGGAGGCAGCAGUAGGGAAUCUUCCGCAAUGGACGAAAGUCUGACGGAGCAACGCCGCGUGAGUGAUGAAGGUUUUCGGAUCGUAAAGCUCUGUUGUUAGGGAAGAACAAGUGCCGUUCAAAUAGGGCGGCACCUUGACGGUACCUAACCAGAAAGCCACGGCUAACUACGUGCCAGCAGCCGCGGUAAUACGUAGGUGGCAAGCGUUGUCCGGAAUUAUUGGGCGUAAAGGGCUCGCAGGCGGUUUCUUAAGUCUGAUGUGAAAGCCCCCGGCUCAACCGGGGAGGGUCAUUGGAAACUGGGGAACUUGAGUGCAGAAGAGGAGAGUGGAAUUCCACGUGUAGCGGUGAAAUGCGUAGAGAUGUGGAGGAACACCAGUGGCGAAGGCGACUCUCUGGUCUGUAACUGACGCUGAGGAGCGAAAGCGUGGGGAGCGNAACAGGAUUAGAUACCCUGGUAGUCCACGCCGUAAACGAUGAGUGCUAAGUGUUAGGGGGUUUCCGCCCCUUAGUGCUGCAGCUAACGCAUUAAGCACUCCGCCUGGGGAGUACGGUCGCAAGACUGAAACUCAAAGGAAUUGACGGGGGCCCGCACAAGCGGUGGAGCAUGUGGUUUAAUUCGAAGCAACGCGAAGAACCUUACCAGGUCUUGACAUCCUCUGACAAUCCUAGAGAUAGGACGUCCCCUUCGGGGGCAGAGUGACAGGUGGUGCAUGGUUGUCGUCAGCUCGUGUCGUGAGAUGUUGGGUUAAGUCCCGCAACGAGCGCAACCCUUGAUCUUAGUUGCCAGCAUUCAGUUGGGCACUCUAAGGUGACUGCCGGUGACAAACCGGAGGAAGGUGGGGAUGACGUCAAAUCAUCAUGCCCCUUAUGACCUGGGCUACACACGUGCUACAAUGGACAGAACAAAGGGCAGCGAAACCGCGAGGUUAAGGCCAAUCCCACAAAUCUGUUCUCAGUUCGGAUCGCAGUCUGCAACUCGACUGCGUGAAGCUGGAAUCGCUAGUAAUCGCGGAUCAG
This 1161-nucleotide ribosomal RNA is filed under the name uncultured Bacillus sp. Its description in RNAcentral is "bacterial SSU rRNA". It matches the Rfam family "Bacterial small subunit ribosomal RNA", at positions 202 to 1352 of the family's 1533-position model. The record is from RNAcentral. Lineage: Bacteria; Bacillati; Bacillota; Bacilli; Caryophanales; Bacillaceae.